AUCAUCUAUCUAUCUUUCUAGGUCUUGCACAUAGUGGGGUCUUGUAGGGGCAACAGGUAUAGUAGAGCAGGAUGGGGGCAGUAACAUUUUAUUUGUGUUUCCCAUACAGCCCAUUGGUUAUUAUCUUCUACUCAUAGCAACUACUAACAGCUGAUGCCUGUUGGGGUGGGGUGCUUGGAGUAACAGUUCGACUACAUCUGAAGGUGCAUAGCAGCUCCAUCUGGCACCGGAAAAGAAUCGCUACACCUUCCAAUAGAGCCAUCACUCCCCGCAGCAUCCAUCCAGCGACUGUAAAUACAGCCAUGCGGACAAUAAACAACUAAAGGGAAACUAAAAUGGAAACAAAAUAAGGAAAUAGAGUUUUUGGCAACGUAAAAGCUAAAGAGCGAAAAUUCUCCCCAGCGCAGCCUUAUUGGAGGCAGGCAAUUAAAUACUAAUUAAUCAGCACGGGCCGAUCCCUGUAUGUUUUGCCUCGGAAAUAUCUCUGGUUUGCAUCAGCGCAGCUCGCGAGAUGCCAUCUCCUCCCGACUCGGCAAACGCUGCAGCUGAUUGCGUGAGGCUGUGAUGCUGGCACCUACCCCCUGCUCCUGAUUUGCAUAUGUAAUGCAAGCAUACUUAAUGACUCAAAGAAUCAGUGGUCUCAGUACAUGUGCAGAGAGCAAGAACGCAGUGAGUGCAAAAAAAAGGUACAUG
Long non-coding RNA from Xenopus laevis (African clawed frog), 693 nucleotides. RefSeq lists it as uncharacterized. NCBI's taxonomy places the organism in Eukaryota, Metazoa, Chordata, Amphibia, Anura, Pipidae. The record is from RefSeq and is a predicted model, not a curated record. The transcript has 4 exons.